Molecule: ribosomal RNA, 819 nt
Filed under: Subulicystidium sp.
Lineage: Eukaryota; Fungi; Basidiomycota; Agaricomycetes; Trechisporales; Hydnodontaceae
Description: partial large subunit ribosomal RNA
Rfam family: Eukaryotic large subunit ribosomal RNA
Source: RNAcentral
CCCCUAGUAACUGCGAGUGAAGCGGGAUGAGCUCAAAUUUGAAAUCUGGCGGCUCUGCCGUCCGAGUUGUAAUCUGGAGAAGCGUUUUCCGUGCCGGACCGUGUACAAGUCUCUUGGAACAGAGCGUCAUAGAGGGUGAGAAUCCCGUCUUUGACACGGACUCCCGGUGCUCUGCGAUGCGCUCUCGAAGAGUCGAGUUGUUUGGGAAUGCAGCUCAAAAUGGGUGGUAAAUUCCAUCUAAAGCUAAAUAUUGGCGAGAGACCGAUAGCGAACAAGUACCGUGAGGGAAAGAUGAAAAGCACUUUGGAAAGAGAGUAAAACAGUACGUGAAAUUGUUGAAAGGGAAACGCUUGGAGUCAGUCGCGUCUUCUGGAACUCAGCCUUGCUUCUGCUCGGUGCACUUUCCAGUUGGACGGGUCAGCAUCGGCUUCGGGGGGCGGACAAAGGCGCGGGGAAGGUGGCAGCUCCGGCUGUGUUAUAGCCCCGCGCUACGCGUCCUCCGGGACCGAGGAAUCCGGCGCUCGCGCCUGGGAUGCUGGCGUAAUGGCUUUAAGCGACCCGUCUUGAAACACGGACCAAGGAGUGCUACAUGCUCGCGAGUGUUUGGGUGGAAAACCCGAGCGCGCAAUGAAAGUGAAAGUCGAGACCCCUUGCGGGGGCACCGACGCCCGAGCCUGAAGUUUACGGACGGCCUUGCGGUAGAGCGAGUAUGUUGCGACCCGAAAGAUGGUGAACUAUUCCUGAGGAGGGCGAAGCCAGAGGAAACUCUGGUGGAGGCUCGUAGCGGUUCUGACGUGCAAAUCGAUCGCAGGACUUGGG